Molecule: long non-coding RNA, 463 nt
Filed under: Glycine max (soybean)
Lineage: Eukaryota; Viridiplantae; Streptophyta; Magnoliopsida; Fabales; Fabaceae
Description: long non-coding RNA (GMAX_LNC002428)
Source: RNAcentral
GUCUCCAUCUCUGGGAGCAAAAGAAUCACAAUAUGCCUGUGCAAGAUCUUGCAGGGUGCCAACAACAGGUUUGUAGGCUAGCUUCAUGUACUCCUUAACAGGUAUAAGCUUGAUCUCAGCAGCAACAAGAAGGCCAAGGGUUCCCUGAGACCACGGAAUGGCAUAGUAUAGAUCAGUGUACUCGUUGUCCUUGGUGGCUCUAACAAGAGUGCCAUCAGCCAAAAUAAUUUCAUAGGCCACAACAGUAUCAGCGAACAAGCCAUAUUUGUGGGAGCUUCCUUCUAUACCAUAGCCGUUAAUGAGACCACCAACAGUUAGAUCAUCAAGCUCUGCAACUACAGCAAGGGCAAGAUUCAUGGGUACAGUCACCCUGCUGAUCUGACCCAUGUUGACUAGGGGCUCAACUCUUGCAAUCAUCCGUUCUUUGUCGAUCUCAAGUACAUUCCGGAAAGCAGACAAAUCA